UACGUAGGUGACCAGCGUUGUCCGGAUUUACUGGGCGUAAAGCGCGUGUAGGCGGCCACGCAGGUCCGUUGUGAAAACUAGAGGCUCAACCUCUAGACGUCGACGGAAACCGUGUGGCUAGAGUCCGGAAGAGGAGAGUGGAACUCCGAGUGUAGAGGUGAAAUUCGUAGAUAUUCGGAAGAACACCAGUGGCGAAGGCGGCUCACUGGUCCGGUACUGACGCUGAGGUGCGAAAGCGUGGGGAGCAAACAGG
Molecule: ribosomal RNA, 253 nt
Filed under: uncultured bacterium
Lineage: Bacteria
Description: partial 16S ribosomal RNA
Rfam family: Bacterial small subunit ribosomal RNA
Source: RNAcentral